This is a non-coding RNA of Lentinula aff. lateritia, 83 nucleotides long. The record is from the annotation of a GenBank genome assembly. NCBI's taxonomy places the organism in Eukaryota, Fungi, Basidiomycota, Agaricomycetes, Agaricales, Omphalotaceae.
UCCGAUAUGGUGUAGUGGCUAACAUUAUCGCCUCUCAUGAGAAAGUGUCGCGAUAGCCCGGGGUUCGAUUCCCCGUGUCGGAA